UACGUAGGGGGCAAGCGUUGUCCGGAUUUAUUGGGCGUAAAGAGCGUGUAGGCGGCCAGACAAGUCUGCUGUGAAAACUCGAGGCUCAACCUCGAGCUGUCGGUGGAAACUGUCGGGCUUGAGUACGGAAGAGGCGAGUGGAAUUCCUGGUGUAGCGGUGAAAUGCGCAGAUAUCAGGAGGAACACCAAUUGCGAAGGCAGCUCGCUGGGACGUUACUGACGCUGAGACGCGAAAGCGUGGGGAGCAAACAGG
Molecule: ribosomal RNA, 253 nt
Filed under: uncultured bacterium
Lineage: Bacteria
Description: partial 16S ribosomal RNA
Rfam family: Bacterial small subunit ribosomal RNA
Source: RNAcentral